This 58-nucleotide ribosomal RNA is filed under the name Russula senecis. RNAcentral's name for it is "partial 5.8S ribosomal RNA". The record is from RNAcentral. Lineage: Eukaryota; Fungi; Basidiomycota; Agaricomycetes; Russulales; Russulaceae.
AUUCAGUGAAUCAUCGAAUCUUUGAACGCACCUUGCGCCCUUUGGUAUUCCGAGGGGC